Molecule: ribosomal RNA, 1532 nt
Filed under: Escherichia coli p0305293.1
Lineage: Bacteria; Pseudomonadati; Pseudomonadota; Gammaproteobacteria; Enterobacterales; Enterobacteriaceae
Description: bacterial SSU rRNA
Rfam family: Bacterial small subunit ribosomal RNA
Source: RNAcentral
AGAGUUUGAUCAUGGCUCAGAUUGAACGCUGGCGGCAGGCCUAACACAUGCAAGUCGAACGGUAACAGGAAGCAGCUUGCUGCUUUGCUGACGAGUGGCGGACGGGUGAGUAAUGUCGUAGGGAAACUGCCUGAUGGAGGGGGAUAACUACUGGAAACGGUAGCUAAUACCGCAUAACGUCGCAAGACCAAAGAGGGGGACCUUCGGGCCUCUUGCCAUCGGAUGUGCCCAGAUGGGAUUAGCUUGUUGGUGGGGUAACGGCUCACCAAGGCGACGAUCCCUAGCUGGUCUGAGAGGAUGACCAGCCACACUGGAACUGAGACACGGUCCAGACUCCUACGGGAGGCAGCAGUGGGGAAUAUUGCACAAUGGGCGCAAGCCUGAUGCAGCCAUGCCGCGUGUAUGAAGAAGGCCUUCGGGUUGUAAAGUACUUUCAGCGGGGAGGAAGGGAGUAAAGUUAAUACCUUUACUCAUUGACGUUACCCGCAGAAGAAGCACCGGCUAACUCCGUGCCAGCAGCCGCGGUAAUACGGAGGGUGCAAGCGUUAAUCGGAAUUACUGGGCGUAAAGCGCACGCAGGCGGUUUGUUAAGUCAGAUGUGAAAUCCCCGGGCUCAACCUGGGAACUGCAUCUGAUACUGGCAAGCUUGAGUCUCGUAGAGGGGGGUAGAAUUCCAGGUGUAGCGGUGAAAUGCGUAGAGAUCUGGAGGAAUACCGGUGGCGAAGGCGGCCCCCUGGACGAAGACUGACGCUCAGGUGCGAAAGCGUGGGGAGCAAACAGGAUUAGAUACCCUGGUAGUCCACGCCGUAAACGAUGUCGACUUGGAGGUUGUGCCCUUGAGGCGUGGCUUCCGGAGCUAACGCGUUAAGUCGACCGCCUGGGGAGUACGGCCGCAAGGUUAAAACUCAAAUGAAUUGACGGGGGCCCGCACAAGCGGUGGAGCAUGUGGUUUAAUUCGAUGCAACGCGAAGAACCUUACCUGGUCUUGACAUCCACAGAACUUUCCAGAGAUGGAUUGGUGCCUUCGGGAACUGUGAGACAGGUGCUGCAUGGCUGUCGUCAGCUCGUGUUGUGAAAUGUUGGGUUAAGUCCCGCAACGAGCGCAACCCUUAUCCUUUGUUGCCAGCGGUCCGGCCGGGAACUCAAAGGAGACUGCCAGUGAUAAACUGGAGGAAGGUGGGGAUGACGUCAAGUCAUCAUGGCCCUUACGACCAGGGCUACACACGUGCUACAAUGGCGCAUACAAAGAGAAGCGACCUCGUGAGAGCAAGCGGACCUCAUAAAGUGCGUCGUAGUCCGGAUUGGAGUCUGCAACUCGACUCCAUGAAGUCGGAAUCGCUAGUAAUCGUGGAUCAGAAUGCCACGGUGAAUACGUUCCCGGGCCUUGUACACACCGCCCGUCACACCAUGGGAGUGGGUUGCAAAAGAAGUAGGUAGCUUAACCUUCGGGAGGGCGCUUACCACUUUGUGAUUCAUGACUGGGGUGAAGUCGUAACAAGGUAACCGUAGGGGAACCUGCGGUUGGAUCACCU